GAAGGAUUCCAUGCCCGGCUGGAGGACAAAUCCUGCUGCUCUGAUGUUGUAACCUUUGGAAGGGAUUUCCCAUGGAUCUGACCCAUGUCCCCAGUGCCACAGGUUCCCUUUGGAAGAAGGGAUUUCCCACGGCUUGGGCACCACCAAAGUGGGAGCACAUCCCAGGUCCUCCUGCACCUCUCUGAGGUUUUUGUGGUGACAUCUGAGGGCAGCUUCCCCACCCUGAGCCAUUUUGGGGUUAAAGAAGCAGAGUUUGGGAGGUCUCACCCACCCUGACCCCAGCACCGAGCAUCCCCCGCACGCUCAGGUGAGUCAGAGGCGGCUCCGUGUGACUCACGGCCUGUCUGGGUCACGGUUACUCAUUGACACCUUCCCAGCAGGGCUGGCCUGGGAACCGAGCUGUGAGCACACCCCUGCAGGGCUGCCUUUGGAGGAAAUUUGGGGAUAAUUUGGUGAUAAUCCCUCGGGACAGGCUCUGGGAAUGGGGCUGG
RNAcentral lists this long non-coding RNA (491 nucleotides) under Junco hyemalis (dark-eyed junco). RNAcentral's name for it is "lncRNA (ENSJHYG00000001397.1)". Lineage: Eukaryota; Metazoa; Chordata; Aves; Passeriformes; Passerellidae. The record is from RNAcentral.